Molecule: ribosomal RNA, 502 nt
Filed under: uncultured Glomus
Lineage: Eukaryota; Fungi; Glomeromycota; Glomeromycetes; Glomerales; Glomeraceae
Description: SSU rRNA
Rfam family: Eukaryotic small subunit ribosomal RNA
Source: RNAcentral
AGCAGCCGCGGUAAUUCCAGCUCCAAUAGCGUAUAUUAAAGUUGUUGCAGUUAAAAAGCUCGUAGUUGAAUUUCGGGGUCGGUAGGUUGGUCAUGCCUCAGGUAUGCACUGGUCUCACUGAUUCCUCCUUCCUGAUGAGCCGUAAUGCCAUUAAUUUGGUGUUGCGAGGAAUCUGGACUGUUACUUUGAAAAAUUAGAGUGUUUAAAGCAAGCUAACGCUUGAAUACAUUAGCAUGGAAUAAUGGAAUAGGACGUUCGAUCCUAUUUUGUUGGUUUCUAGGAUUGACGUAAUGAUUAAUAGGGAUAGUUGGGGGCAUUAGUAUUCAAUUGUCAGAGGUGAAAUUCUUGGAUUUAUUGAAGACUAACUACUGCGAAAGCAUUUGCCAAGGAUGUUUUCAUUAAUCAAGAACGAAAGUUAGGGGAUCGAAGACGAUCAGAUACCGUCGUAGUCUUAACCAUAAACUAUGCCGACUAGGGAUCGGAUGAUGUUAAUUUUUAAUGA